Molecule: transfer RNA, 72 nt
Organism: Lepisosteus oculatus (spotted gar)
Lineage: Eukaryota; Metazoa; Chordata; Actinopteri; Semionotiformes; Lepisosteidae
Rfam family: tRNA
About the family: Transfer RNA (tRNA) molecules are approximately 80 nucleotides in length.
Source: Rfam
GUGGAUGUAGCUCAGUGGUAGAGUGCAUGCUUUGAAUAUAUGAGGUCCUGGGUUCAAUCCCCAGCAUCUCCA